UACGUAGGGUGCAAGCGUUAAUCGGAAUUACUGGGCGUAAAGCGUGCGCAGGCGGUUAUGUAAGACAGUUGUGAAAUCCCCGGGCUCAACCUGGGAACUGCAUCUGUGACUGCAUAGCUAGAGUACGGUAGAGGGGGAUGGAAAUUCCGCGUGUAGCAGUGAAAUGCGUAGAUAUCGGGAGGAACACCAGUGGCGAAGGCGACUACCUGGCCUGUUCUUGACGCUGAG
Molecule: ribosomal RNA, 228 nt
Filed under: uncultured bacterium
Lineage: Bacteria
Description: partial 16S ribosomal RNA
Rfam family: Bacterial small subunit ribosomal RNA
Source: RNAcentral